This 468-nucleotide ribosomal RNA is filed under the name uncultured bacterium. RNAcentral describes it as "partial 16S ribosomal RNA". It matches the Rfam family "Bacterial small subunit ribosomal RNA", at positions 28 to 523 of the family's 1533-position model. The record is from RNAcentral.
GAUGAACGCUGGCGGCGUGCCUAACACAUGCAAGUCGAGCGAUUUACUUCGGUAAAGAGCGGCGGACGGGUGAGUAACGCGUGGGUAACCUGCCUCAUACACAUGGAUAACAUACCGAAAGGUAUGCUAAUACAGGAUAAUAUAAGAGAUUCACAUGGAUUUUUUAUCAAAGCUCCGGCGGUAUGAGAUGGACCCGCGUCUGAUUAGCUAGUUGGUAAGGUAAUGGCUUACCAAGGCGACGAUCAGUAGCCGACCUGAGAGGGUGAUCGGCCACAUUGGAACUGAGACACGGCCCAAACUCCUACGGGAGGCAGCAGUGGGGAAUAUUGCACAAUGGGCGAAAGCCUGAUGCAGCAACGCCGCGUGAGUGAUGAAGGCCUUCGGGUCGUAAAACUCUGUCCUCAAGGAAGAUAAUGACGGUACUUGAGGAGGAAGCCCCGGCUAACUACGUGCCAGCAGCCGCCGUAA